GAGUAGGUUACUAAGAGCAUAUGGAGGAUGCCUUGGCAUAAAAGGGCGAUGAAGGACGUGGCGUGACUGCGAUAAGCGUCGGGGAGCUGUCUAGCGAGCUUUGAUCCGGCGAUGUCCGAAUGGGAAAACCCAUGGCGAGUAAUGUUGCCAUAUCUUUAUCCGUAAGUGAUAAAGAAGCGAACCCGGGGAAGUAAAACAUUUCAGUACCCGGAGGAAAAGAAAAGAAGAUUCACUUUUUUAUUGGUGAGUCCGGAUAGUCGGGAACACCAAUAAAAUUGUGAUUCAUAUUCCCCUAGUAGCGGCGAGCGAAAAGGGAGGAGUCUAAACCUGUCUUGUGCUUCGCACAAGAACCGUUGACCUUUGACAUUUUACUUUUGACAUUUUUUGUCAAUUGUCAAUUGUUAUUUGUCAGUUGUUCUCGCGCGAAGCGCGAGACGGGGGUUGAAAGAAGCGGUCGUUUCCAUAGCAAUAUGGAGGAGAAGUACAAAAAUGAAAAAUUGGUUAGUUAAAUGGUUUUGGAAAAGCCAACCAAAGAGGGUAAUAGUCCCGUAAGCGAAAACCUUUUUCAUACUUCUUGAUUGUUCUCUUAAGUACCGCGGGGAAAGAUUGCCCUGUGGGAAGCCGGGAGUCCUACACUCCCAAGACUAAAUACCUUUUGUGACCGAUAGUGAACUAGUACCGUGAGGGAAAGGUGAAAAGCAGCCCGGUGAGGGCGGUGAAAUAGACCUGAAACCAUAUGCUUACAAAGAGCGGGAGUCCACGACACGCAAGUGUCGGGAUGACCGUGUGCCUAUUGAAGAAUGAGCCAACGACUUUAUGUGUUUUGCUUGUUUAAGCUCCGAUUGGAGAUUAAGCACAGGGAAACCGAGUGUUAAAAGCGCGUUUUUCGGCGUAAGCCGAAAAGGCAGAACGCAUAAGACCCGAAGCCAGGUGAGCUUACCAUGGCCAGGCUGAACCCCGCAGAAAUGCGGGGGGAGGGCCGCACCCACUAGCCGUGCAAUACUAGGGGAUGAGCUGUGGUAAGAAGUGAAAAGCUAAUCGAACCUGGGAAUAGCUGGUUCUCUCCGAAAUAGAUUUAGGACUAGCCUCAAGUGUUUUUUAUUGGAGGUAGAGCACUGGUUGGUCUGUAUUGGCGCAAGCCAGGCAGACCAGUCAAACUCCGAAUUCCAUU
RNAcentral lists this ribosomal RNA (1171 nucleotides) under Candidatus Wildermuthbacteria bacterium. RNAcentral describes it as "partial 23S ribosomal RNA". It matches the Rfam family "Bacterial large subunit ribosomal RNA", at positions 1 to 967 of the family's 2925-position model. The record is from RNAcentral. Lineage: Bacteria; Candidatus Wildermuthiibacteriota.